This 459-nucleotide ribosomal RNA is filed under the name uncultured bacterium. Its description in RNAcentral is "bacterial SSU rRNA". It matches the Rfam family "Bacterial small subunit ribosomal RNA", at positions 29 to 531 of the family's 1533-position model. The record is from RNAcentral.
AACGAACGCUGGCGGCAGGCCUAACACAUGCAAGUCGAGCGAACCCUUCGGGGUUAGCGGCGGACGGGUUAGUAACGCGUGGGAAUAUGCCCAAAGGUACGGAAUAGCCUCGGGAAACUGAGAGUAAUACCGUAUGUGCCCUUCGGGGGAAAGAUUUAUCGCCUUUGGAUUAGCCCGCGUUGGAUUAGGUAGUUGGUGGGGUAAUGGCCUACCAAGCCGACGAUCCAUAGCUGGUUUGAGAGGAUGAUCAGCAACACUGGGACUGAGACACGGCCCAGACUCCUACGGGAGGCAGCAGUGGGGAAUCUUAGACAAUGGGGGAAACCCUGAUCUAGCCAUGCCGCGUGGACGAUGAAGGCCUUAGGGUUGUAAAGUCCUUUCAGCUGGGAAGAUAAUGACGGUACCAGCAGAAGAAGCCCCGGCUAACUCCGUGCCAGCAGCCGCGGUAAAGUCUGUACU